AUUGAACGCUGGCGGCAUGCUUUACACAUGCAAGUCGAACGGCAGCGCGGGCUUCGGCCUGGCGGCGAGUGGCGAACGGGUGAGUAAUGCAUCGGAACGUGCCCAGUAGUGGGGGAUAGCCCGGCAAAAGCCGGAUUAAUACCGCAUACGACCUGAGGGUGAAAGCGGGGGACCGAAAGGCCUCGCGCUAUUGGAGCGGCCGAUGUCGGAUUAGCUAGUUGGUGGGGUAAAGGCUUACCAAGGCGACGAUCCGUAGCUGGUCUGAGAGGACGACCAGCCACACUGGGACUGAGACACGGCCCAGACUCCUACGGGAGGCAGCAGUGGGGAAUUUUGGACAAUGGGGGCAACCCUGAUCCAGCCAUGCCGCGUGCGGGAAGAAGGCCUUCGGGUUGUAAACCGCUUUUGUUCGGGAAGAAAUCCUCUGGGCUAAUACCCCGGGGGGAUGACGGUACCGGAAGAAUAAGCACCGGCUAACUACGUG
Molecule: ribosomal RNA, 484 nt
Filed under: uncultured bacterium
Lineage: Bacteria
Description: partial 16S ribosomal RNA
Rfam family: Bacterial small subunit ribosomal RNA
Source: RNAcentral